RNAcentral lists this ribosomal RNA (492 nucleotides) under uncultured bacterium. RNAcentral's name for it is "partial 16S ribosomal RNA". It matches the Rfam family "Bacterial small subunit ribosomal RNA", at positions 29 to 507 of the family's 1533-position model. The record is from RNAcentral.
AGUGAACGCUGGCGGUAGGCCUAACACAUGCAAGUCGAACGGCAGCACAGUAAGAGCUUGCUCUUACGGGUGGCGAGUGGCGGACGGGUGAGGAAUACAUCGGAAUCUACUUUUUCGUGGGGGAUAACGUAGGGAAACUUACGCUAAUACCGCAUACGACCUACGGGUGAAAGCAGGGGAUCUUCGUACCUUGCGCGAUUGAAUGAGCCGAUGUCGGAUUAGCUAGUUGGCGGGGUAAAGGCCCACCAAGGCGACGAUCCGUAGCUGGUCUGAGAGGAUGAUCAGCCACACUGGAACUGAGACACGGUCCAGACUCCUACGGGAGGCAGCAGUGGGGAAUAUUGGACAAUGGGCGGAAGCCUGAUCCAGCCAUACCGCGUGGGUGAAGAAGGCCUUCGGGUUGUAAAGCCCUUUUGUUGGGAAAGAAAAGCAGCAGGUUAAUACCCCGCUGUUCUGACGGUACCCAAAGAAUAAGCACCGGCUAACUUCGUG